GACGAACGCUGGCGGCGUGCUUAACACAUGCAAGUCGAACGGCAAGGCCCUGCUUUUGUGGGGUGCUCGAGUGGCGAACGGGUGAGUAACACGUGAGUAACCUGCCCUUGACUUUGGGAUAACUUCAGGAAACUGGGGCUAAUACCGGAUAGGAGCUCCUACUGCAUGGUGGGGGUUGGAAAGUUUCGGCGGUUGGGGAUGGACUCGCGGCUUAUCAGCUUGUUGGUGGGGUAGUGGCUUACCAAGGCUUUGACGGGUAGCCGGCCUGAGAGGGUGACCGGCCACAUUGGGACUGAGAGACGGCCCAGACUCCUACGGGAGGCAGCAGUGGGGAAUAUUGCACAAUGGGCGGAAGCCUGAUGCAGCAACGCCGCGUGCGGGAUGACGGCCUUCGGGUUGUAAACCGCUUUCGCCUGUGACGAAGCGUGAGUGACGGUAAUGGGUAAAGAAGCACCGGCUAACUACGUG
RNAcentral lists this ribosomal RNA (468 nucleotides) under uncultured bacterium. RNAcentral describes it as "partial 16S ribosomal RNA". It matches the Rfam family "Bacterial small subunit ribosomal RNA", at positions 28 to 507 of the family's 1533-position model. The record is from RNAcentral.